GAGAGUAUAGCUCAGUGGUAGAGUGUGUGCUUAGCAGGCGUGAGGUCCUGGGUUCAAUCCCCAGUACCUCCA
This 72-nucleotide transfer RNA is filed under the name Camelus bactrianus (Bactrian camel). It matches the Rfam family "tRNA". From Rfam's summary of the family: Transfer RNA (tRNA) molecules are approximately 80 nucleotides in length. Their secondary structure includes four short double-helical elements and three loops (D, anti-codon, and T loops). The record is from Rfam by way of RNAcentral. RNAcentral also lists the same sequence under 2 other names. Lineage: Eukaryota; Metazoa; Chordata; Mammalia; Artiodactyla; Camelidae.